This 425-nucleotide ribosomal RNA is filed under the name uncultured bacterium. RNAcentral's name for it is "bacterial SSU rRNA". It matches the Rfam family "Bacterial small subunit ribosomal RNA", at positions 355 to 775 of the family's 1533-position model. The record is from RNAcentral.
UCGAGAAUCUUCGGCAAUGGGCGCAAGCCUGACCGAGCGACGCCGCGUGCGGGAUGAAGGCCUUCGGGUUGUAAACCGCUGUCAGGGGGGAUGAAAUGCAUCGGGGUUCUCCCCGGUGUUUGACAUAGCCCCAGAGGAAGCGCGGGCUAAGUUCGUGCCAGCAGCCGCGGUAAUACGAACUGCGCAAACGUUAUUCGGAAUCACUGGGCUUACAGGGUGCGUAGGUGGCGGGGAAAGUAGGGUGUGAAAUGCCUUGGCUCAACCAAGGCACAGCGCUCUAAACUACCUCGCUCGAGUGAGUCAGGGGUACGCGGAACUUCCGGUGGAGCGGUGAAAUGUGUUGAUAUCGGAAGGAACACCGGUGGCGAAAGCGGCGUACUGGGGCUCAACUGACACUGAGGCACGAAAGCCAGGGGAGCGAACGG